UGCAUAGGCUUCCUGCGGUGAAACGG
RNAcentral lists this unclassified non-coding RNA (26 nucleotides) under Mus musculus (house mouse). Its description in RNAcentral is "oocyte_clustered_small_RNA13733". The record is from RNAcentral. Lineage: Eukaryota; Metazoa; Chordata; Mammalia; Rodentia; Muridae.